Molecule: ribosomal RNA, 222 nt
Filed under: uncultured bacterium
Lineage: Bacteria
Description: partial 16S ribosomal RNA
Rfam family: Bacterial small subunit ribosomal RNA
Source: RNAcentral
UACCCCAGAGUCUGGAAUAACCUGCCGAAAGGCGGGCUAAUACUGGAUAGAGCGAUGGAAUCCGUAAUUGGGUUUUUCGGGAAAGGGAGGAAGCAAUUCCCUUUGCUUUGGGAUGAGCCUGCGUCUCAUUAGCUAGUUGGUGAGGUAAUAGCUCACCAAGGCUUUGAUGGGUAGCUGGUCUGAGAGGAUGAUCAGCCACACUGGAACUGAAACACGGUCCAG